Molecule: ribosomal RNA, 808 nt
Filed under: uncultured bacterium
Lineage: Bacteria
Description: bacterial SSU rRNA
Rfam family: Bacterial small subunit ribosomal RNA
Source: RNAcentral
AGAGGUUCAUUCUGGCUCAGGAUGAACGCUAGCUACAGGCUUAACACAUGCAAGUCGAGGGGCAUCGGGAAGAAAGCUUGCUUUCUUUGCCGGCGACCGGCGCACGGGUGAGUAACACGUAUCCAACCUGCCCUUUACUCGGGGAUAGCCUUUCGAAAGAAAGAUUAAUACCCGAUAGUAUAAUGAUUCCGCAUGGUUUCAUUAUUAAAGGAUUCCGGUAAAGGAUGGGGAUGCGUUCCAUUAGGUUGUUGGUGAGGUAACGGCCCACCAAGCCUUCGAUGGAUAGGGGUUCUGAGAGGAAGGUCCCCCACAUUGGAACUGAGACACGGUCCAAACUCCUACGGGAGGCAGCAGUGAGGAAUAUUGGUCAAUGGGCGCUAGCCUGAACCAGCCAAGUAGCGUGAAGGAUGAAGGCUCUAUGGGUCGUAAGCUUCUUUUAUAUAAGAAUAAAGUGCAGUAUGUAUACUGUUUUGUAUGUAUUAUAUGAAUAAGGAUCGGCUAACUCCGUGCCAGCAGCCGCGGUAAUACGGAGGAUCCGAGCGUUAUCCGGAUUUAUUGGGUUUAAAGGGAGCGUAGGUGGACUGGUAAGUCAGUUGUGAAAGUUUGCGGCUCAACCGUAAAAUUGCAGUUGAUACUGUCAGUCUUGAGUACAGUAGAGGUGGGCGGAAUUCGUGGUGUAGCGGUGAAAUGCUUAGAUAUCACGAAGAACUCCGAUUGCGAAGGCAGCUCACUGGACUGCAACUGACACUGAUGCUCGAAAGUGUGGGUAUCAAACAGGAUUAGAUACCCUGGUAGUCCACACAGUAAA